This is a long non-coding RNA of Oncorhynchus mykiss (rainbow trout), 2800 nucleotides long. NCBI's taxonomy places the organism in Eukaryota, Metazoa, Chordata, Actinopteri, Salmoniformes, Salmonidae. The record is from Ensembl.
UGAUUAAUAAAUGGUAAGUAAACUCUUUACAAACAGUUUAUAAAUGGUAUAUUAAGGGACCUUAAUAUAAAGUCUUACCGAACAUUUUGAUCCAUCGAUGAGACUUCAUCAAUACAAUCCAUUAUCAUUAAUCUCCUAACUCAUGUAUCUCUAUGACAUGUGUGCUCUAUAACUGAUGUGCUCUGUUUUUCCUUCCUCAGCCACCGUAACGCUGCAGUGAGGAGCUGCACUGCUCAGCACCUGGAGAGACUGGCUGAGGUCAUGGGGACGGCUCGUCUCCUGUCGGGGAAGAAAGACCUCACUGACCGUUUCUUGAUUGCCGUCAGUAAACUGGCUGUGGACCCUUCACAGGAAGUCAGGCAUCAUGGUCGCAAUAUCUUGAGAAACGUGGCCACCAAUGGCGAAUUUGCUAAAAUGUGGGACAAAUUCGCUCCGAGGAAAGAGCAAGAAUCCUUGAGGGAGGUCAUCUCAAAGGUUAACCUCAAAGAAUGGUACAUUCUCUCUGGAUGAUUAGAAGAAGUGUGACAAAUUAGCUGAUAUGAUUACAGAAAUCCAAUCCCACUGGGCACAGACAUCAAUGUCUAGUUUUGAUUUAAAUUUGGAACUCAACCAAAAUGUGAAAUCCACCAAAAAUGUUGGUUAAAAGUUGGGUGGGAAAAAAAACAAUUGUGUUUUCCACGUUGAUUCACCGUCAUCACAUAGAUUUUUGUUGUUGUUGAAAUGAGGUGCAAAUAACGUUUAUUCAACCAGUUUUGGCCCAAUGGGAUGAAUUUAAUAUACUGUAAGAUUAUAUCUUUCUCUCUUUUCUCUUUUUCAACAGGAAUAUCUGAAUAAUCCCCAAUUUUACGAUAAAUUUGUAUCUAAAUAUUUGCACAUUUCCCAACUUGACUAUUAUCCCCUCCAGUCCCCAAACUCCAAUAUUUUAGCUCAUUCUAAGAAAUUUGACACCCUCCUCUAAACCCCCAUGUAAAUGCAUCUUUAAACUGCAUUGACUCCUUGUCCAAGUCCUGAAUCCACUAUAAGGCCAUAUGAACCACAUUCAAAGCACAAUAGUGAUCUACUGAAACCAUACUCACCAUCUCAGGGGGUGCUCAGAUCCUCAACCACUGACCUCCACACCAUCCUCAAAACCAGCAGUCCUCUUUUGGAGGCAGAUUGGUCAGUGCUCCUGUAUGGCACCAACAUUGUGGAUUUUCAUCCAAUACUUCUGGACUAUGAGAACAUUGUUUGGACAAUAAAAUUAGGUAAAAUGGAAGCUGGCUACAGUCUCAGUUUUAUCCUCCAAGACAGUGUGAGGAUGUGUAACAACAAUACCUGUGGUUUAACUUGAUGGUCAGGGCCAGAUUACCGAAUGGGCACGCAGGGCACCUGCCCUGUGGGCCCCGACCUCCAGGCAAUAUCAUCAUUAAUCCAAAACUAAAAGUAUAGUGGAUGUAUAUUACAGUACGUGGACGUUUUACAAUUUGUGAGCUCAUUUCAUUCUUUGUAGCCAUGUUUUAUAUAAAUUUGUGCGUAUUUUGUAGUAAGUCGUGAGCAUUUGAAAACAUUUAGUGGGGAUGUUUUAUAUCAAUUUGCUUACUGGUGCUCUUAAAUGCCGUCCCUAGGAGGGGUGCGUCACUUGAGUGGGUUGAGUCACUGACGUGAUCUUCCUGCCUGGGUUGGCGCCCAGUAUGCUCUCUCUAAUUCUCUCGUUCUUUCUUUCUUUCUUUCAUUCUUUCUUUCUUUCUUUCUUUCUUUCUUUCUUUCUUUCUUUCUUUCUUUCUUUCUUUCUUUCUUUCUUUCUUUCUUUCUUUCUUUCUUUCUUUCUUUCUUUCUUUCUUUCUUUCUUUCUUUCUUUCUUUCUCUCUCUCUCUCUCUCUCUCUCGGGCAACUGAGCGUUCCUUGCUGUCCACAGUCCACCUGGCUGUGCUGCUGCUCCAGUUUUAACUGUUCUGCCUGUGGCUAUGGAACCCUGACCUGUUCACUGGAAGUGCUUCCUGUCCCAGACCUGUUGUUUUCAACUCUCUAGAGACAGCAGGAGCGGUAGAGAUACUCUGAAUGAUCGGCUAUGAAAAGCCAACUGACAUUUACUCCUGAGGUGCUGACCUGUUGCACCCUCGACAACCACUGUGAUUAUUAUUAUUUGACCCUGCUGGUCAUCUAUGAACAUUUGAACAUCUUGGCCAUGUUCUGUUAUAAUCUCCACUCGGCACAGCCAGAAGAGGACUGGCCACCCCUCAUAGCCUGGUUCCUCUAGGUUUCUUCUUAGGUUCUGGCCUUUCUAGGGAGUUUUUCCUAGCCACCGUGCUUCUACACUUGCAUUGCUUGCUGUCAGGAGGAAUGGGCCAAAAUUCACCCUACUUAUUGCGGGAAGCUUGUGGAAGGCUACCCGAAAUGUUUUACCCAAGUAAAACAAUUUACAGGCAAUGCUACCAAAUACUAAUUGAGUGUAUGUAAACUUCUGACCCACUGGGAAUGUGAUGAAAGAAAUACAAGCUGAAAUAAAUCAUUCUCUCUACUAUUAUUCUGACAUUUCACAUAUUUCAUAAAAUAAAGUGGUGAUCCUAAAUGACCUAAAACAGGGAAUUUUACUAAGAUUACAUUUCAGGAAUUGUGAAAAGGAAUUGUGAGUUUAAAUGUAUUUGGCUAAGGUGUAUGUAAACUUUCGACUUCAACUGCAUAUUUCCCCUAUAGGCAACAAUGGUACGACCUUCAGAGUUCCACAAGCAAUUUGUUGUUUACGUUACAACGUGGGCAUGUCUCAUUGCCAACAAUAGUGAAGCAGGCAUUGUGACGUAGAACAAUGGGCUGGGCAUAGAAC